GUCGAGGCUAGACUUACAUCCUGGCAUUCUCAUUGUCCUGUUGUGCUAUAGUACUCUGAGGAAAACACUUUGUUGCUGAUUCAUUGGCUGUAGUCUGUGGCCUAGCCAAUCACCAGUUCAAAUACAGAU
This is a small nucleolar RNA of Coregonus clupeaformis (lake whitefish), 129 nucleotides long. RefSeq annotates it as small nucleolar RNA SNORA3/SNORA45 family. The record is from RefSeq and is a predicted model, not a curated record. The transcript has a single exon. NCBI's taxonomy places the organism in Eukaryota, Metazoa, Chordata, Actinopteri, Salmoniformes, Salmonidae.